UGUAAGCGUAUACCAAAGUUGUUGCAGUUAAAACGCUCGUAGUCGGAAUUUGGCAGUUCCGGAAGUGUGCACGUCGUGUGCGCACUUUGCGGGGACUGCUUUUGUGGUCUUGCGUAGGAUGAGGCACUUUCAUUAGUGAACGUCCUCACGCAACCACUCUUUACUGUGAGAAAAUCAGAGUGCUCAAAGCAGGCAUUUGCCGUGAAUGUAUUAGCAUGGAAUAAUAGAAUAGGACUCGGUUCUGUUUUGUUGGUUUGUUGGGACUGAGUAAUGAUUAAGAGGGACAGUUGGGGGCAUUUGUAUUCCGGCGCUAGAGGUGAAAUUCUUAGAUUGCCGGAAGACAAACUGCUGCGAAAGCGUCUGCCAAGGAUGUUUUCAUUGA
RNAcentral lists this ribosomal RNA (382 nucleotides) under uncultured eukaryote. RNAcentral describes it as "partial 18S ribosomal RNA". It matches the Rfam family "Eukaryotic small subunit ribosomal RNA", at positions 592 to 976 of the family's 1831-position model. The record is from RNAcentral.